RNAcentral lists this ribosomal RNA (329 nucleotides) under Klebsiella pneumoniae. RNAcentral describes it as "partial 23S ribosomal RNA". It matches the Rfam family "Bacterial large subunit ribosomal RNA", at positions 911 to 1238 of the family's 2925-position model. Lineage: Bacteria; Pseudomonadati; Pseudomonadota; Gammaproteobacteria; Enterobacterales; Enterobacteriaceae. The record is from RNAcentral. RNAcentral also lists the same sequence under 11 other names.
UGUUUCGGCUAGGGGGUCAUCCCGACUUACCAACCCGAUGCAAACUACGAAUACCGAAGAAUGUUAUCACGGGAGACACACGGCGGGUGCUAACGUCCGUCGUGAAGAGGGAAACAACCCAGACCGCCAGCUAAGGUCCCAAAGUCAUGGUUAAGUGGGAAACGAUGUGGGAAGGCACAGACAGCCAGGAUGUUGGCUUAGAAGCAGCCAUCAUUUAAAGAAAGCGUAAUAGCUCACUGGUCGAGUCGGCCUGCGCGGAAGAUGUAACGGGGCUAAACCAUGCACCGAAGCUGCGGCAGCGACACUAUGUGUUGUUGGGUAGGGGAGCG